UAUGGUUGUGUGCCAGCAGCCGCGGUAAUACGUAGGGAGCAAGCGUUGUCCGGAUUUACUGGGUGUAAAGGGUGCGUAGGCGGCUUUGCAAGUUAGAUGUGAAAUCUAUGGGCUCAACCCAUAAACUGCAUUUGAAACUGUAGAGCUUGAGUGAAGUAGAGGCAGGCGGAAUUCCCCGUGUAGCGGUGGAAUGCGUAGAUAUCGGGAGGAACACCAGUGGCGAAGGCGGCCUACUGGGCACCAACUGACGCUGAGGCUCGAAAGUGUGGGUAGCAAACAGG
RNAcentral lists this ribosomal RNA (281 nucleotides) under Ruminococcus bromii. Its description in RNAcentral is "partial 16S ribosomal RNA". It matches the Rfam family "Bacterial small subunit ribosomal RNA", at positions 496 to 776 of the family's 1533-position model. Lineage: Bacteria; Bacillati; Bacillota; Clostridia; Eubacteriales; Oscillospiraceae. The record is from RNAcentral.